UGGAUCCAGACUUUGAUUAUGGCCAGGAUGAACGCUAGCUACAGGCUUAACACAUGCAAGUCGAGGGGAAACGACAUCGAAAGCUUGCUUUUGACGGGCGUCGACCGGCGCACGGGUGAGUAACGCGUAUCCAACCUGCCCACCACUUGGGGAUAACCUUGCGAAAGUAAGACUAAUACCCAAUGAUAUCUCUAGAAGACAUCUGAAAGAGAUUAAAGAUUUAUCGGUGAUGGAUGGGGAUGCGUCUGAUUAGCUUGUUGGCGGGGUAACGGCCCACCAAGGCGACGAUCAGUAGGGGUUCUGAGAGGAAGGUCCCCCACAUUGGAACUGAGACACGGUCCAAACUCCUACGGGAGGCAGCAGUGAGGAAUAUUGGUCAAUGGGCGAGAGUCUGAACCAGCCAAGUAGCGUGCAGGAUGACGGCCCUAUGGGUUGUAAACUGCUUUUAUAAGGGAAUAAAGUGAGUCUCGUGAGAUUUUUUGCAUGUACCUUAUGAAUAAGGACCGGCUAAUUCCGUGCCAGCAGCCGCGGUAAUACGGAAGGUCCGGGCGUUAUCCGGAUUUAUUGGGUUUAAAGGGAGCGUAGGCCGGAGAUUAAGCGUGUUGUGAAAUGUAGACGCUCAACGUCUGCACUGCAGCGCGAACUGGUUUCCUUGAGUACGCACAAAGUGGGCGGAAUUCGUGGUGUAGCGGUGAAAUGCUUAGAUAUCACGAAGAACUCCGAUUGCGAAGGCAGCUCACUGGAGCGCAACUGACGCUGAAGCUCGAAAGUGCGGGUAUCGAACAGGAUUAGAUACCCUGGUAGUCCGCACGGUAAACGAUGGAUGCCCGCUGUUGGUCUGAAUAGGUCAGCGGCCAAGCGAAAGCAUUAAGCAUCCCACCUGGGGAGUACGCCGGCAACGGUGCAACUCAAAUGAAUUGACGGA
RNAcentral lists this ribosomal RNA (925 nucleotides) under uncultured Bacteroidota bacterium. RNAcentral describes it as "bacterial SSU rRNA". It matches the Rfam family "Bacterial small subunit ribosomal RNA", at positions 1 to 917 of the family's 1533-position model. Lineage: Bacteria; Pseudomonadati; Bacteroidota. The record is from RNAcentral.